AUUGAACGCUGGCGGCAGGCCUAACACAUGCAAGUCGGGCGGUAACACAGGGAGCUUGCUCCUGGGUGACGAGCGGCGGACGGGUGAGUAAUGUCUGGGAAACUGCCUGAUGGAGGGGGAUAACUACUGGAAACGGUAGCUAAUACCGCAUAACGUCGCAAGACCAAAGAGGGGGACCUUCGGGCCUCUUGCCAUCAGAUGUGCCCAGAUGGGAUUAGCUAGUAGGUGGGGUAAUGGCCCACCUAGGCGACGAUCCCUAGCUGGUCUGAGAGGAUGACCAGCCACACUGGAACUGAGACACGGUCCAGACUCCUACGGGAGGCAGCAGUGGGGAAUAUUGCACAAUGGGCGCAAGCCUGAUGCAGCCAUGCCGCGUGUAUGAAGAAGGCCUUCGGGUUGUAAAGUACUUUCAGCGAGGAGGAAGGCAUUAAGGUUAAUAACCUUGGUGAUUGACGUUACUCGCAGAAGAAGCACCGGCUAACUCCGUGCCAGCCGCCGCAGUAA
RNAcentral lists this ribosomal RNA (504 nucleotides) under uncultured bacterium. RNAcentral describes it as "partial 16S ribosomal RNA". It matches the Rfam family "Bacterial small subunit ribosomal RNA", at positions 30 to 523 of the family's 1533-position model. The record is from RNAcentral.